AUGAGGAAGCCGAGGACACCUGAAUUGUGAUGAAUCUUCGCUUCGCCGA
This 49-nucleotide small nucleolar RNA is filed under the name Pyrococcus abyssi GE5. RNAcentral's name for it is "PABsR45". It matches the Rfam family "Small nucleolar RNA sR45", at positions 5 to 53 of the family's 55-position model. Lineage: Archaea; Methanobacteriati; Methanobacteriota; Thermococci; Thermococcales; Thermococcaceae. The record is from RNAcentral.